CAGCCGUAAACUAUGCUCGCUAGGUGUCAGGCAUGGCGCGACCGUGUCUGGUGCCGCAGGGAAGCCGUGAAGCGAGCCACCUGGGAAGUACGGCCGCAAGGCUGAACUUAAGGAUUGGCGGGGGAGCACAACAACGGGUGGAGCCUGCGGUUUAAUUGGACUCAACGCCGGACAACUCACCGGGAACGACAGCAAUAUGUAGGCCAGGCUGAAGACCUUGCCUGAAUCGCUGAGAGGAGGUGCAUGGCGUAGACGUGU
This 258-nucleotide ribosomal RNA is filed under the name uncultured archaeon. RNAcentral describes it as "partial 16S ribosomal RNA". It matches the Rfam family "Archaeal small subunit ribosomal RNA", at positions 748 to 1009 of the family's 1478-position model. The record is from RNAcentral.